RNAcentral lists this ribosomal RNA (762 nucleotides) under uncultured Bacteroidota bacterium. RNAcentral's name for it is "bacterial SSU rRNA". It matches the Rfam family "Bacterial small subunit ribosomal RNA", at positions 61 to 826 of the family's 1533-position model. Lineage: Bacteria; Pseudomonadati; Bacteroidota. The record is from RNAcentral.
GUCGAGGGGUAUAGUAGCAAUACUAGAGACCGGCGCACGGGUGCGUAACGCGUAUGCAAUCUACCUUUUACAGAGGGAUAGCCCAGAGAAAUUUGGAUUAAUACCUCAUAGUAUGUGAGAAUGGCAUCAUUUUCACAUUAAAGUCACAACGGUAAAAGAUGAGCAUGCGUCCCAUUAGCUAGUUGGUAAGGUAACGGCUUACCAAGGCUACGAUGGGUAGGGGUCCUGAGAGGGAGAUCCCCCACACUGGUACUGAGACACGGACCAGACUCCUACGGGAGGCAGCAGUGAGGAAUAUUGGUCAAUGGGCGCAAGCCUGAACCAGCCAUGCCGCGUGCAGGAUGACGGUCCUAUGGAUUGUAAACUGCUUUUGUACAGGAAGAAACAACUCUACGAGUAGAGUCUUGACGGUACUGUAAGAAUAAGGAUCGGCUAACUCCGUGCCAGCAGCCGCGGUAAUACGGAGGAUCCAAGCGUUAUCCGGAAUCAUUGGGUUUAAAGGGUCCGUAGGCGGUUUAGUAAGUCAGUGGUGAAAGCCCAUCGCUCAACGGUGGAACGGCCAUUGAUACUGCUAGACUUGAAUUAUUAGGAAGUAACUAGAAUAUGUAGUGUAGCGGUGAAAUGCUUAGAGAUUACAUGGAAUACCAAUUGCGAAGGCAGGUUACUACUAAUGGAUUGACGCUGAUGGACGAAAGCGUGGGUAGCGAACAGGAUUAGAUACCCUGGUAGUCCACGCCGUAAACGAUGGAUACUAGCUGUUGG